GUGAACGCUGGCGGUAGGCCUAACACAUGCAAGUCGAACGGCAGCACAGUAAGAGCUUGCUCUUACGGGUGGCGAGUGGCGGACGGGUGAGGAAUACAUCGGAAUCUACUUUUUCGUGGGGGAUAACGUAGGGAAACUUACGCUAAUACCGCAUACGACCUACGGGUGAAAGCAGGGGAUCUUCGGACCUUGCGCGAUUGAAUGAACCGAUGUCGGAUUAGCUAGUUGGCGGGGUAAAGGCCCACCAAGGCGACGAUCCGUAGCUGGUCUGAGAGGAUGAUCAGCCACACUGGAACUGAGACACGGUCCAGACUCCUACGGGAGGCAGCAGUGGGGAAUAUUGGACAAUGGGCGCAAGCCUGAUCCAGCCAUACCGCGUGGGUGAAGAAGGCCUUCGGGUUGUAAAGCCCUUUUGUUGGGAAAGAAAAGCAGCAGGUUAAUACCCCGCUGUUCUGACGGUACCCAAAGAAUAAGCACCGGCUAACUUCGUG
RNAcentral lists this ribosomal RNA (491 nucleotides) under uncultured bacterium. RNAcentral's name for it is "partial 16S ribosomal RNA". It matches the Rfam family "Bacterial small subunit ribosomal RNA", at positions 29 to 507 of the family's 1533-position model. The record is from RNAcentral.